CUAAUAAUAGUUAAUUAAUAACAUGGGCUUUGGGUGCCUAAAUUCAGACAAUGUUUGUUAUUAGA
This 65-nucleotide transfer RNA is filed under the name Clymenella torquata (bamboo worm). RNAcentral's name for it is "tRNA-Pro". Lineage: Eukaryota; Metazoa; Annelida; Polychaeta; Maldanidae. The record is from RNAcentral.